This 18-nucleotide unclassified non-coding RNA is filed under the name Pseudomonas aeruginosa. Its description in RNAcentral is "RNA (5'-R(*AP*AP*AP*AP*AP*UP*AP*AP*CP*AP*AP*CP*AP*AP*GP*AP*GP*G)-3') from Pseudomonas aeruginosa (PDB 6O1K, chain O)". The record is from RNAcentral. Lineage: Bacteria; Pseudomonadati; Pseudomonadota; Gammaproteobacteria; Pseudomonadales; Pseudomonadaceae.
AAAAAUAACAACAAGAGG